This 301-nucleotide ribosomal RNA is filed under the name uncultured bacterium. RNAcentral describes it as "partial 16S ribosomal RNA". It matches the Rfam family "Bacterial small subunit ribosomal RNA", at positions 509 to 807 of the family's 1533-position model. The record is from RNAcentral.
CAGCAGCCGCGGUAAUACGGAGGGAGCUAGCGUUAUUCGGAAUUACUGGGCGUAAAGCGCACGUAGGCGGCUUUGUAAGUUAGAGGUGAAAGCCUGGUGCUCAACACCAGAACUGCCUUUAAGACUGCAUCGCUUGAACGUCGGAGAGGUGAGUGGAAUUCCGAGUGUAGAGGUGAAAUUCGUAGAUAUUCGGAAGAACACCAGUGGCGAAGGCGGCUCACUGGACGACUGUUGACGCUGAGGUACGAAAGCGUGGGGAGCAAACAGGAUUAGAUACCCGCGUAGUCCCUGUCUCUUAUAC